This 799-nucleotide ribosomal RNA is filed under the name uncultured bacterium. RNAcentral describes it as "bacterial SSU rRNA". It matches the Rfam family "Bacterial small subunit ribosomal RNA", at positions 8 to 796 of the family's 1533-position model. The record is from RNAcentral.
AGAGUUUGAUCAUGGCUCAGAGCGAACGUUAGCGGCGCGCCUAACACAUGCAAGUCGCACGGGGUAGCAAUACUCAGUGGCGCACGGGUGCGUAACACGUAGAUAACCUGCCCCGAAGAGGGGGAUAACGUUCCGAAAGGAGCGCUAAUACCGCAUAACGCCGAGAUGGGUUCGCCUGUUUCGGACAAAGGCUGGGACCAGCAAUGGCCAGUCGUUUUGGGAGGGGUCUGCGGCCCAUCAGCUAGUUGGUAAGGUAAAGGCUUACCAAGGCAAAGACGGGUAGCUGGUCUGAGAGGAUGAUCAGCCACACUGGUACUGGAACACGGACCAGACUCCUACGGGAGGCAGCAGUGGGGAAUCUUGGUCAAUGGGCGCAAGCCUGAACCAGCGACGCCGCGUGAGUGAUGAAGGCCUUCGGGUUGUAAAGCUCUGUGGGGAGGGACGAAAGACUGAGGUCUAAUAGGCUUCAGGUUGACGGUACCUCCUUAGCAAGCACCGGCUAACUCUGUGCCAGCAGCCGCGGUAAGACAGAGGGUGCAAACGUUGCUCGGAAUCACUGGGCGUAAAGGGCGUGUAGGCGGGAAGGAAAGUCAGAUGUGAAAUCCCCAGGCUCAACCUGGGAACUGCAUUUGAAACUCCCUUUCUUGAGUACCGGAGAGGAAAGUGGAAUUCCUGGUGUAGAGGUGAAAUUCGUAGGUAUCAGGAGGAACACCAGUGGCGAAGGCGGCUUUCUGGACGGUAACUGACGCUGAGACGCGAAAGCGUGGGGAGCAAACAGGAUUAGAUACCCCAGUAGUCC